RNAcentral lists this ribosomal RNA (743 nucleotides) under Pallidocercospora ventilago. Its description in RNAcentral is "eukaryotic LSU rRNA". It matches the Rfam family "Eukaryotic large subunit ribosomal RNA", at positions 98 to 870 of the family's 3401-position model. Lineage: Eukaryota; Fungi; Ascomycota; Dothideomycetes; Mycosphaerellales; Mycosphaerellaceae. The record is from RNAcentral.
GCGGCAACAGCUCAAAAUUUGAAAUCUGGCGCAAGCCCGAGUUGUAAUUUGUAGAGGAUGCUUCUAGGCAGCGGCCGUUCUAAGUUCCUUGGAACAGGACGUCAUAGAGGGGUGAGAAUCCCGUAUGUGACCGGCGCGCACCUUUUACGUAGCUCCUUCGACGAGUCGAGUUGUUUGGGAAUGCAGCUCUAAAUGGGAGGUAAAUUUCUUCUAAAGCUAAAUACCGGCUGGAGACCGAUAGCGCACAAGUAGAGUGAUCGAAAGAUGAAAAGCACUUUGGAAAGAGAGUUAAAAAGCACGUGAAAUUGUUGAAAGGGAAGCGCCUGCAACCAGACUUCGCGGCAGUGUUCCGCCGGUCUUCUGACCGGUCUAUUCUCUGUCGCGAGGCCAUCAUCGUCUGGGGCCGCCGGAUAAGACUGGAGGAAUGUAGCUCCCCUCGGGGAGUGUUAUAGCUUUCAGUGAUGCGGCGUGUCUCGGGCGAGGUCCGCGCUUCGGCAAGGAUGAUGGCGUAAUGGUUGUCGGCGGCCCGUCUUGAAACACGGACCAAGGAGUCUAACAUCUAUGCGAGUGUUCGGGUGUCAAACCCCUACGCGUAAUGAAAGUGAACGGAGGUGGGAACUUUUUGUGCACCAUCGACCGAUCCUGAUGUCCUCGGAUGGAUUUGAGUAAGAGCAUAGCUGUUGGGACCCGAAAGAUGGUGAAACUAUGCCUGAAUAGGGUGAAGCCAGAGGAAACUCUGGUGG